UUUUGAUUCUUCGAUGUCGGCUCUUCCUAUCAUUGUGAAGCAGAAUUCACCAAGCGUCGGAUUGUUCACCCGCAAAUAGGGAACGUGAGCUGGGUUUAGACCGUCGUGAGACAGGUUAGUUUUACCCUACCGAUGGAGCGUUAUUGGGCAAGUAGAGCAACUCAGUACGAGAGGAACCGUUGUUCGACAGAAUUGGUCUUGCGGUUGGUCGAGGGGCCACGCCGCGCAGCUACCCUGUCUAGGAUUACGGCUGAACGCCUCUAAGCCGGAAACCAUGCUUAGGCAAGCAGUAACGGGAAACUGGAUGCAAGUGGCGAGCGGCGCAGAAGCGCAGAGUAGGGCAGUGCAAGCUGUCGGCAACGCGGGGGGGAGACUCGGUCCUUGCCUUUUUCAUGAAGCUGUGGGGCAAGGGCUGGUCUUUGAGAUGUGGAGUACGCGGUAGUCACUUGCGUGGAUCCUCUGUAGAUGACUUUGUUCGCAUGGGGAGUUGUAGGAAGCUGAGUGGCCGAGUUUGCCACGAACUUUUGAGACCUUGCCCUAUCUUUUUAGAGU
Molecule: non-coding RNA, 552 nt
Filed under: Thecamonas trahens ATCC 50062
Lineage: Eukaryota; Apusomonadida; Apusomonadidae
Description: Eukaryotic large subunit ribosomal RNA
Rfam family: Eukaryotic large subunit ribosomal RNA
Source: Rfam by way of RNAcentral